AUGUGCCCGAGACCCACGCGCUCCGCUGUCAUUCUGCUUCUGAUAAUUUCAGAGCCAGCGAGUCGUGGGCAUUUCACUGCCCUGUGGAUGCAAGGCUGGGGUGGAUUGCCCUGCCCCGGGCGGGCAGGCAGUGCGGGGCAGGAUGGAGCCCAUCACCAGCAGCUGGUGUUCCAGCACCACUGCUUCAAACCCCAGCCAGCCUGGGAGCCCCCUCACUGUGGCCACAGCUGCAGAAGGGCUGUUAGCCACAGCACGUGGCCCCGUGCCCGCAGAGCUGCUCGGUCUCAGCACAGGCACGUCCCUGUGGGUGCUCGGGUAGCCCUCUCACCACUCUGUGUGCGUUGCCAGUUUCUGAGGGAUGGUUCGUGGGCAUUUUUGAAACAGACCCUUUGCACAUCUCACCCGUUCCCUCGUUUCACAACACUGCCUUGCUUCUCCCCCUUUGUGAACAGCUUCACCAAAAGAGCCCAUCAAAGACCCAGAGCAGAGCAAGGCCGGGCCAGCAGCCGUGCACUCCAAACAACACCUCGAUUUAAGGGUGACAACAAAAAACAUCACACUCACGCACAACCCAGGCUAAAUUUAGCUCUGAGUCCUCUGCACAUCAUCACCGGACUGCAAGUGCCUCGGGGCGGUACCCAGUCUCCGUUAAACCUUUCGAUGCGGGCACAUCGAGCGCGCCGAUUCCCCCCCAGGUGCUGUGGGCAGACACCACGUCCGCCUCGGGCUGCUUCCCCCUGCCCCGGAUCAGCCCGGCUGCAGGGCAGGGCCUGGUGCCUCACCCUUCCCUGCCUCGGCGUCCGGGUGCAAACCUCUGCGUCCACUGCUGGUAACGGCAGCGUCUUCCCAGCUGCCCCCGGCUGUCCCCUGCCGGCACCGCUGCCACCAGGUCCUGGGGUGGAAACGGAGGACGGAGGCCUCAGGGUACGGGGGUGCCCUCGGUGGGGUGUGUGGGGGGGUCCCAGCUCACCUCUGCUGAACCAAAACGGCUCCGUGGUCCUGGCCUAG
This 1008-nucleotide long non-coding RNA is filed under the name Anser cygnoides (Swan goose). RNAcentral's name for it is "lncRNA (ENSACDG00005003431.1)". The record is from RNAcentral. Lineage: Eukaryota; Metazoa; Chordata; Aves; Anseriformes; Anatidae.